GGGGAUGAUCGGUUUCGACACUGCAGUGCUUUUCGUGAAAGAAGCGGGUCGAGGAUGAGCACUUAUCUCGUAAACGAUGUGUUCAAAACUAUAGGUGCCAAUACAAAGCGCGCCGACUUCGCCCUAGCUGCUUAAGCUAGCCCCGAAGUCCGUCUGACUAAGUUUGAUUUCGGCUUAGACCCAGGCGUCAUUUAGGAAUCUCGCUGGUUCUGUGUGUUGCAGGCAGAACCGGGACUUUAACUGUGACUGGGCUUGUCGAUGUAGUUGCUUCAGACAAACAUCGGAGCCAAGUAGAACGCCUUAUGAAGCUACACCCGUAGAAGGGUCACGAUCGUUGUAGUGGACCCGGGUUCGAUUCCCGGCAUCUCCACCA
This 373-nucleotide transfer-messenger RNA is filed under the name Aquiluna sp. It matches the Rfam family "transfer-messenger RNA". Rfam says of the family: Bacterial tmRNA, also known as 10Sa RNA or SsrA, is named for its dual tRNA and mRNA-like properties. Its role is to liberate the mRNA from a stalled ribosome. To accomplish this part of the tmRNA is used as a reading frame that ends in a translation stop signal. Lineage: Bacteria; Bacillati; Actinomycetota; Actinomycetes; Micrococcales; Microbacteriaceae. The record is from RNAcentral.